This 2333-nucleotide long non-coding RNA is filed under the name Salmo salar (Atlantic salmon). RNAcentral's name for it is "lncRNA (ENSSSAG00000094883.1, ENSSSAG00000104298.1)". Lineage: Eukaryota; Metazoa; Chordata; Actinopteri; Salmoniformes; Salmonidae. The record is from RNAcentral.
CGCAUAAAUCUGAGAAGCGUGAGUUUGUCAUUAUUGUUUAUCUAGACAUAGGAUAGGUUGUGUGAAAAUAUUACUGAUGUUUAACGUUAAAAAUGGACCAAAAGAUUAAUGCUAAACAACGUUUGACAUGUUUGAACGAACGUAAAUAGAUUAUUUACUAGGUUUUUUAGCUUUUCGGCGUGAUUUUACAACCCCCCCACCACGUUUUGUGGGAGCAUAAUGAACGCUAACUACUUGGUGUUAUUUGGACAUAAAUUAUGAACUUUGUCAAAAGAAACCACAUUUGUUCCGGACCUGGGAUUCCUGGCAGUGCCUUCUGAUGGAGAUAAUCAAAGGUAGACUGGUGUCAGACUGGAGCGGCAGCUGCCAUGGCUGUGUAGAGAAACAUCUGUUCUUCAACAUGUCCAUCCUGCAGCCAGUGGAGCAGCUUUCUCUGGCGCAGCUGGAUAUGAAGAUCCAGUGGGAACCAUUCUCCUGGUCCCAAAGCCCUCAGCAUGUCCCUGUACAAGGUGCCACGAGGUCAACCGCAGACUGGUGCUGUCCCAGUAGGUGCAACUGGAACCACACUGUAAAACAUUUCCUAUAAAUAUACAGUAACUUACUGGAAGCAAUUGGCCAGUAAGUUACUGUAAUUUAUUUUUACUGUACAGUGGCUGUAAUCAAUUUUAUGGCAAUUAAUUUUUGGUACUAAAAAUGUUACUGUAAUGUAUUACCCAGUGUAUUACCCAGUGUUCUUUGCAAAUGUUAAUUUUUACAUUUACAUUUUGGUAAUUUAGGGGGCGCUCUUGUCCUCAGUAACGCACAGUCACUGCAUUCAACCAAGAUUAAUAAAAAACAAGGUGUAUCACAGUCAUAGCAAGUAAACUGAGGACCAUUGUGGUGCCAUUCAUCGGCCACAAUCACUUCAAGUUUCAAAAUGAUAAUUUAUGCAUGUCAGACUUCAACAUCUGUACACAAUUCCUGGAAGCUGGAAAUGUCCCAGUUCUUCAAUGGCCUGCAUACUCCCCAGACAUGUCAGAUAUUGAGCAUGUUUGGGAUGCUCUGGAAUGACGUGUACAGGAGCAUGUUCCAGUUCCCAACAAUAUCCAACAACUUUGCACAGCCAUUGAAGAGGAGUGGGACAACAUUCUACAGGCCACAAUCAACAACCUUUUUUAUUUAACAUUUAUUUAAUUAGGCAAGUCAGUUAAGAUCAAAUUCUUAUUUACAAUGAUGGCCAUCACUGGCCAAACCCGGACGACGCUGGGCCAAUUGCACGCCGCUCUAUGGGACUCCCGGUUGUGAUACAGUCUGGAAUCGAACCAGGGUUACGCAUCUAGCACUGAGAUGCAGUGCCUUAGACCGCUGCCACACUCAGAAGCCAGAUCAACACUGCAAAGGAGAUGUUUUGUGCUGCAUGAGGCAAAUGGUGGUCACAUGAAAUACUGACUGGUUUUAUGGUCCACGCCCGUACUUUUUUUUUAAGGUCACUACAUGACCAAAAAUAUGUGCCCGUUGAACAUCUCAUUCCAAAAUCAUGGGCAUUAAUAUGGAAUUUACUCCCCCUUUGCUGCUAUAACAGCCCCCACUCUUCUGGGAAGGCUUUCCACUAGAUGUUGGCUAAUUGCUGUGGGGACUUGCGUCCAUUCAGCUACAAGACCAUUAAUGAAGUCGACCAUUGAUGUUGACCGAUUAGGCCUGGCUCACCGUCGGCGUUCCAAUUCAUCCCAAAGGUGCUCGAUGGGGUCGAGGUCAGAGCUCUGUGCAGGCCAGUCAGGUUCUUCCACAUCAAUCUCAACAAACCAUUUCUUUAUGGACCUCACUUUGUGCACGGGGGCAUUUUCAUGCUGAAACAGGAAAGAGCCUUCCCCAAACUGUUGCCACAAAGUCUACAAUGUCAUUGUAUGCUGUAGUGUUAAGAUUUCCCUUCACCAGAACUAAGGGGCCUAGCUCAAACCAUGAAAAACAUCCUCAGACCAUUAUUCCUCCUCCACCAAACUUUAAAGUGUGGACUAUGCAUUGGGGCAGGUAGAGUUCUCCUGGAAUCCACCAAACCCAGAUUCGUCCGUCGGACUGCUAGAUAGUGAAGCGUGAUUCAUCACUCCAAAGAAGGCGUUUCCACUGCUCCAGAGUCCAAUGACGGCAUGCUUUACACCACUCGAGCCGACACUUGACAUUGUGCAUGGUGAUCUUGUUGUGCAUGGCUUGUGUUCGGCUGCUCGGGCCCAUUUCAUGAAGUUCCCGAUGAACAGUUAUUGUGCUGACGUUGCGUCCAGAGGCAGUUUGGAACUCGGUAGUGAGAUGUGCAACCGAGGACAGAGGAUGUUUACUCGCUACGCGCUGCAGCACUCGGC